AUCCUUUCGUAGUUGCUAAGUGUGAUGACUGAGUUUUCCUGCUCAAGUGUGAGAUGUGGCCCUCUCCAGCCUCCCAUUGCAUUACCCACAUUCCCUGUCUUACG
Otolemur garnettii (small-eared galago) is the source of this 104-nucleotide small nucleolar RNA. Lineage: Eukaryota; Metazoa; Chordata; Mammalia; Primates; Galagidae. The record is from Ensembl.